Molecule: ribosomal RNA, 300 nt
Filed under: uncultured Sphaerotilus sp.
Lineage: Bacteria; Pseudomonadati; Pseudomonadota; Betaproteobacteria; Burkholderiales; Sphaerotilaceae
Description: bacterial SSU rRNA
Rfam family: Bacterial small subunit ribosomal RNA
Source: RNAcentral
GGUACGCGUCUGGCGGAAGCCAGGGUAAGACGAAGGAUGCAAACGGUAUCCGGAUUCAUUUGGUUUAAAUGGUGCGUAGGCUGACUUGUAAGUCAGUGGUGAAAUCUCUUUGCUUAACAAAGAAACUGCCAUUGAUACUGCUAGUCUAGAGUAUAGAUGACGUUGGCGGAAUAUGACAUGUAGUGGUGAAAUACUUAGAUAUGUCAUAGAACAUCGAUUGCGAAGGCAGCUGACUGGACCUGAAUUGACGCUGAGGCACGAAAGCGUGGGGAGCGAACAGGAUUAGAUACCCGAGUAGUC